This 1073-nucleotide long non-coding RNA is filed under the name Helianthus annuus (common sunflower). Lineage: Eukaryota; Viridiplantae; Streptophyta; Magnoliopsida; Asterales; Asteraceae. The record is from RNAcentral.
UCCUGAAUGUUUUUUAGGGUUCCGUUCUACAUGGGGAUACGGCGGCGGCGGCGGUAGUGGUGAACAGCGACGACAACCGCGGAGGUAUUAGUGAACAACGCCGACGACUUAGCAGCGGCUGGCCCUGCAGGUGUGGAUGGACCUGACGGUGGUUCAACAUGAUUGGCACCACCACCGCCAAUUUCAGACAAUCGGAACCGAUGGAACCCUUAUCGACUGGAGAAACCCCCAAAAGUUCUUCGCUACAUGGUGAUGGAACGAAUGUAGAGACAAGCAUAGUCACGGCCAUGUGAAGUUCGUGUGGUGCUCCAACUAUGGGUCCUUAAAUGCGUAACAUUUUGAGGGGAUGCGUGUCGAUUUUACCAACUUUCUCAAUCAGAGGUUCUCACUAACUCACAGCACCCUCAUGGGACCGACGGAGAUUCCUUCUCAAUAUGCUGAAAUAAUAAAAUUCCGACUGCACACUAUGCUUUUAGUGCUAACUUUAUGCAUCCAAAGUAGUUGAUGCUUUUUGGAAGGGUUUUGACCGAUGGGCGGGUCAACUCUUGAGUCAAAUGUGACUUAUCGGAUAAUCUUAGCAUGAAUGCCGAUGCUCAGCUAACAAGUGAGCCGCACAUGUCGAAUGGAAAGGUUAACAUCGACUAUAAGAUGCCAUCCCUACUAGAAAAAGCAAUGUACUUGCAGAUAUAUAUCGUAGAAAAUGGAUGUACCAGAUGUUUUGCAACCACAGGCUAUGUUGGAUGGACUUCAUAAGUUUGGAAUGGCAUUCCACCCUAUAGACGGCACAUUGCCUUAUUAUUGAUGGAAGCUAUGUGGACAGUAAACAUUCACGACUGUAUUCAUGGGAAGUUAUGGCCAGUACCACAUAAUUCAUCACACCACUAAUCACUAUAGCUAAGUUUAUAGGUCAACUUUAGCUCUUUUUGCUCAAAAAGUCAUGAUUGUACACAUGUUUAUUUUAGUUGAUUUGUCAUGUUGGCAAUUGGUAUGCAAAUUAGUCUACUUAACUGCAGCUAAUGAAUAAUAUCGGUAAUCAUGUUUUUGGCAAAUAGCUCUAUUUAGCUACUCUUGGU